AAGCAGUUAGUCUAAACAAAACAUUUGAUUUCGGCUCAAAAAUUUGUGGUUAAACCCCACAACUGCCUA
RNAcentral lists this transfer RNA (69 nucleotides) under Zebrias zebra (zebra sole). RNAcentral describes it as "tRNA-Arg". It matches the Rfam family "tRNA". Rfam says of the family: Transfer RNA (tRNA) molecules are approximately 80 nucleotides in length. Their secondary structure includes four short double-helical elements and three loops (D, anti-codon, and T loops). RNAcentral also lists the same sequence under 1 other name. The record is from RNAcentral. Lineage: Eukaryota; Metazoa; Chordata; Actinopteri; Pleuronectiformes; Soleidae.